This 678-nucleotide unclassified non-coding RNA is filed under the name Hevea brasiliensis (rubber tree). The record is from RNAcentral. Lineage: Eukaryota; Viridiplantae; Streptophyta; Magnoliopsida; Malpighiales; Euphorbiaceae.
GAGUCUGGAGGCGAGGGAGGGUAGAAAUUUUCCCAGUUCCAAACGGAGGAAGCUUGUGAUGCUGUGCUCGAGUACGUUGAAUUCGCUUGAUAAGCCGUAGGAUACUCAAAAUUUCCAGUGAAAUUGGAUUUCUGACUUCGAGGAUCGAGGAGACGAGGGAAGGCUCGAUUCGGAGAGUAUAUGAGGGAGCUUUGGAGGUUUACGGCGGCGAUUAGAAGCAGAGUUAAGGCUUGAAGCGGAGAGGAUAUGGGGCAUUUUAGAACUAGCAAUUGUGGGAGAAGGAGAAGGGGAAAACGCAGGUGGCGGUGGAUGUGGUUGGAGGGAAGGUGAUGGAAAAGGAGCAACACGUGGAGGUAUAGAAUCGGUAGACGAUGGAGUAGGGUUUGAAGAGUGUAGGAAAACAGCAGGAGUUUGCUCGGAAACGGAAAGUGUUUCGCCAGCAGCGAAGGAGCAAAGAGCUGAGCCAGUAACACGAAGAGCGCGGCAGUAAUCGGCGUGAGCAGCUGCGAGGUGGUGGCGCGCAUAGACAGCUUCCUUGAUGAGGCGGCGGCGCUCCUUGCACCGCCUCACCGUGUCCUCGUUGUCGAGCUUCGAAGCUGUACAACCCNNNNNNNNNNAAAAAAAACAAAAGCGGUGUUUAGGGCUGGAGUGGAUGGCGCGUUUUUAGGUGGUGGCGCC